AAUUCAGACAAACUCCGAAUGCCAAUUAAUUUAACUUGGGAGUCAGAACAUGGGUGAUAAGGUCCGUGUUCGAAAGGGAAACAGCCCAGACCACCAGCUAAGGUCCCAAAAUAUAUGUUAAGUGGAAAAGGAUGUGGCGUUGCCCAGACAACUAGGAUGUUGGCUUAGAAGCAGCCAUCAUUUAAAGAGUGCGUAAUAGCUCACUAGUCGAGUGACACUGCGCCGAAAAUGUACCGGGGCUAAACAUAUUACCGAAGCUGUGGAUUGUCCUUUGGACAAUGGUAGGAGAGCGUUCUAAGGGCGUUGAAGCAUGAUCGUAAGGACAUGUGGAGCGCUUAGAAGUGAGAAUGCCGGUGUGAGUAGCGAAAGACGGGUGAGAAUCCCGUCCACCGAUUGACUAAGGUUUCCAGAGGAAGGCUCGUCCGCUCUGGGUUAGUCGGGUCCUAAGCUGAGGCCGACAGGCGUAGGCGAUGGAUAACAGGUUGAUAUUCCUGUACCACCUAUAAUCGUUUUAAUCGAUGGGGGGACGCAGUAGGAUAGGCGAAGCGUGCGAUUGGAUUGCACGUCUAAGCAGUAAGGCUGAGUAUUAGGCAAAUCCGGUACUCGUUAAGGCUGAGC
This 618-nucleotide ribosomal RNA is filed under the name Staphylococcus aureus. Its description in RNAcentral is "partial 23S ribosomal RNA". It matches the Rfam family "Bacterial large subunit ribosomal RNA", at positions 942 to 1561 of the family's 2925-position model. Lineage: Bacteria; Bacillati; Bacillota; Bacilli; Caryophanales; Staphylococcaceae. The record is from RNAcentral.